Molecule: non-coding RNA, 107 nt
Organism: Trametes maxima
Lineage: Eukaryota; Fungi; Basidiomycota; Agaricomycetes; Polyporales; Polyporaceae
Source: the annotation of a GenBank genome assembly
GACAUCAUAGCCAAGUGGUUACGGCGACAGAUUAGAAUAGUACCCCAAAGAUAAGCCUUGAUAUCUGUUUCCCUUUGGGAGCGCAGGUUCGAAUCCUGCUGGUGUCG